Molecule: ribosomal RNA, 495 nt
Filed under: uncultured bacterium
Lineage: Bacteria
Description: partial 16S ribosomal RNA
Rfam family: Bacterial small subunit ribosomal RNA
Source: RNAcentral
GACGAACGCUGGCGGCGUGCCUAAUACAUGCAAGUAGAACGCUGAAGGAGGAGCUUGCUUCUCUGGAUGAGUUGCGAACGGGUGAGUAACGCGUAGGUAACCUGCCUGGUAGCGGGGGAUAACUAUUGGAAACGAUAGCUAAUACCGCAUAAGAGUAGAUGUUGCAUGACAUUUGCUUAAAAGGUGCAAUUGCAUCACUACCAGAUGGACCUGCGUUGUAUUAGCUAGUUGGUGGGGUAACGGCUCACCAAGGCGACGAUACAUAGCCGACCUGAGAGGGUGAGCGGCCACACUGGGACGGAGACAGGGCCCAGACUCCUACGGGAGGCAGCAGUAGGGAAUCUGCGGCAAUGGACGGAAGUCUGACCGAGCAACGCCGCGUGAGGGAAGAAGGUUUUCGGAUCGGAAAGCUCUGUUGUAAGAGAAGAACGAGUGUGAGAGUGGAAAGUUCACAGUGUGACGGUAUCGGACCAGAAAGGGACGGCUAACUACGUG